AAACAAGAACAUAACUUGAGAUUUGUGUCGUGUUUCUUUGUCUGUUUGUGUUUUUAGUAGUUUCAUUGUAAUGCAAAGUUUCAUCCUUUCUGUGUUGGGUUUAAGCUGAGAGUGAGCUUCUGACCUAUGCUCUGUUUCAAUUGUUCUGAAUCUAUCAGUUUUGGUACGUUGGUUUAGAGUUAAAGAGACUGCUCAGAAAGCUUAUGUGAUGACUUCUCCUAUCUGAGAGGAAACAAGUCUUUAGAAGUUCCAUUGUAAUGAAAAGACUCCUCCUUUCUGUUAAUUUUCAUGGUGAAUCUCGAGUUUUUAACUUCAGGGUUUAAGCUGAGAGUGAGCUUCUGAUCUAUGCUCUGUUUCAAGUGUUAUGUUUAGAGUUAAAGAGACUGUUCAGGAAGCUUAUGUGAUGACUUAUCUGAGAGGAAACAAGUCUGAUAUAUCCCUAAAUCCAAAAGCAGAAGCAUGGAUAUCCCUUCACCAAACAAACUACCAACAUUCAUAUGAAGAAGACAUGCCUUAAGCUCGGCUAGGACGGUCAUAAGGACCCAGUCUGCUCCUAUAGGCUCUUCCCUCAUCACUUAACGGUCCCAUAGAUACAUACCAAUCACUUGCACCCCUUGUGUAUGUGUCUCUGUCAAAGCCUCUAUCUCUCUUGCCAUAAUUAUCCUCAAGAUGAUGAUGGUGUUCAGGUAUCCCAUACCUCUAUCACUCACCAAACGGCGUAAACCUAGACUGAUUAAUGCAUCAAAAGAUCAGGACUUUCUUAAACUAUAAUAUACAUGUUGGAAACCAAUAAUAGAGCUACAAAUUACAAACCUCUCAACUGGAUAAAGAUCACCAGUUUCAUACUUGUCUCCACCCUCAAAGCGGUCUCUGUAGCUAUAUCCAUGUAGCGGUCACGCUCCAGCUCACCAAUCUCUAUAGCAUCUCGGUGUCCAUGGAACUUUUCAACUAGUUGAGGGACCAUGGCGUCCACACUUAAAUGCACUCAUCUAAAGCAGCUCCUCCUCCAUGGCUUCCCUUUCCUCGGGAUGGAUAGCCUCCCCUGUAAUGAAGAUGGUCUACAUCAACAUCAUCUCCCCCACCCUUGGGCUCAGCCUUGUUCACCGAUAUCACCCUAUCACCUAACUCCCUCAUCAGCUCCUCGGCGAUAACUGCAUGCAAUAAACCCAAAACCACGUGGACGGCCAGUGUCUUUCCUCGUCCCAAGUGAUACUGCCAAAAUAAAACCAUCAGCAAAUCUGAAAGACAUCAAAGACGCUUUAGAGGACAGAGGGGUGAAGUAAACAUCGUACCAGAUCGUUGUGAGUUCCUUCGGAGAUUUGGUUUUCGAUCUAUCCAAAUCCAUGAUCGAAUCUAACGGUUUCGUCUUCAACGGUGAGAAGAAGAAGAAGACCGUUCGGUGAAGAUCCGUCGAGACGGGCAACGAGAGGACGAAGAGAGCUUUUAUCCUUGCAAAAUGAGAAGAAGAAGAUGACCGAUCAUUCGCCGGAGUUUCAUCCUUCCAGAGAUCGCCAGAGAAUCGCCAUAGACGGAGGAAAAAGGAAGAAAGAAAAGAAAAUAUGGGUUUCGACGGAAACCCCGAAGAAGGAGAAAGAGUUGUAGAAUCGGUCCAAUUAGAAGUAGCCACAUAGGGGUUCCAACAAAUCCUAAAAAUGCCAAGUUAAUUACCGGUUCUCUUCUUUCUUUCUAUUUUUCAUUUAUUUUUGGGCCUUUAAUUUUUUGAAACCCAUUGCUAGAACUCCCGACGGAGCUGCUCUGAGCUUCAACAGACAAGCUUUAUUAUAAUGAGGGAAAGAACAUUAGACAAUGACUUUUCUGCCCUCGUCCUUAGCUGGAUCUAAUCCCACCACUCUCUCCAGCUGUGAACCCAAUUGCAUCUCCUCUGUCGAAACCCAAUCUGUUUAUUCGAGUUGAGAAGAAGAAGAAGAAGAUGAUAGCUGUGAUUGGAUUGCUUCUGGGUUUUCUACUUUCAGCAUUGUUCUCGAUCCAAGCGAAGCGAAGAAGAUCAAACGACCAUCAAGAGACGAAGCGAUAUCCUGUAGAUUUAAUUCCUAAAAGCUACAGCAAGAGUGAAGUCGCAGAGCAUAACAAAAGAGACGAUUGUUGGAUCAUAAUCAAAGACAAAGUCUACGACGUUACUUCUUAUGUGGAAGAGCAUCCUGGUGGUGACGCCAUUCUAGAUCACGCUGGUGAUGAUUCUACUGAUGGGUUUUUCGGACCGCAACACGCGACUCGUGUUUUCGACAUGAUCGAGGAUUUCUACAUCGGACAACUUCGCAAGUAAGAGAGGAAAAAAACAAGAACAUAACUUGAGAUUUGUGUCGUGUUUCUUUGUCUGUUUGUGUUUUUAGUAGUUUCAUUGUAAUGCAAAGUUUCAUCCUUUCUGUGUUGGGUUUAAGCUGAGAGUGAGCUUCUGACCUAUGCUCUGUUUCAAUUGUUCUGAAUCUAUCAGUUUUGGUACGUUGGUUUAGAGUUAAAGAGACUGCUCAGAAAGCUUAUGUGAUGACUUCUCCUAUCUGAGAGGAAACAAGUCUUUAGAAG
This 2541-nucleotide long non-coding RNA is filed under the name Brassica napus (rape). RNAcentral's name for it is "long non-coding RNA (BNAP_LNC015570)". Lineage: Eukaryota; Viridiplantae; Streptophyta; Magnoliopsida; Brassicales; Brassicaceae. The record is from RNAcentral.